RNAcentral lists this long non-coding RNA (575 nucleotides) under Phoenix dactylifera (date palm). RNAcentral's name for it is "long non-coding RNA (PDAC_LNC019615)". The record is from RNAcentral. Lineage: Eukaryota; Viridiplantae; Streptophyta; Magnoliopsida; Arecales; Arecaceae.
UUAAGAUAUAAUCAAUUACAUACAUUUAAAGCACUCUCGGAUAUCUAAAAUCGGAUCGAGUGGCGAUGCUUCUCGUCGAUAUCUGGAUCAUCAGCAUAAUAUGAAGGUAGAUCAACCCAUCCCUCUAACCAAGCGGCGUUGUAGUCUUGUAUGCUCAAUCCUCGAGGAAUGCACGUCGGGUCAUAAGAACUCUCGGAUUUCUUGCUGAAGCUCUGGCUCAGAGAGGUGUCUUGAUAAUAUAGCUGUGAAGGGGCCCAUCCGAAUAUGCCGGUACCAAAAUCCGACCCGUAAGACCUUCCGGGCUGCGCAGGGUAGUAGCCACCAGAAUAUGACUCCGAUGCACUAUAUCCAUAGGUUGGCUGAGGCCGCGGAUAAUAGGAAGACUCGGAACUUGAUACAUCAAUGGAUUCGACUCCACAUGGGAGGUCAUUUGCAGCUGCAUCCUGGCUUGCUGAACAACCUCGAGGAGCCCUUCUUCGAUAUGCAAUGGUAUCCGACCGGCCUAUAUUAGACGACCUACCGUGGUCUGUAUCUUGUGUAGCAUGCGUAAACUGAGACUCACUGGUGUAUCGAAA